GGGUUGUGAGGUUAAGCGACUAAGCGUACACGGUGGAUGCCCUGGCAGUCAGAGGCGAUGAAGGGCGUGCUAAUCUGCGAUAAGCGCCGGUAAGGUGAUAUGAACCGUUAUAACCGGCGAUACCCGAAUGGGGAAACCCAGUGUGAUUCGUCACACUAUCAUUAACUGAAUCCAUAGGUUAAUGAGGCGAACCGGGGGAACUGAAACAUCUAAGUACCCCGAGGAAAAGAAAUCAACCGAGAUUCCCCCAGUAGCGGCGAGCGAACGGGGAGGAGCCCAGAGCCUGAAUCAGCAUGUGUGUUAGUGGAAGCGUCUGGAAAGGCGCGCGAUACAGGGUGACAGCCCCGUACACAAAAGCGCAUGUGCUGUGAGCUCGAUGAGUAGGGCGGGACACGUGGUAUCCUGUCUGAAUAUGGGGGGACCAUCCUCCAAGGCUAAAUACUCCUGACUGACCGAUAGUGAACCAGUACCGUGAGGGAAAGGCGAAAAGAACCCCGGCGAGGGGAGUGAAAAAGAACCUGAAACCGUGUACGUACAAGCAGUGGGAGCACAGGUUUACCUG
This 562-nucleotide ribosomal RNA is filed under the name Salmonella enterica subsp. enterica serovar Berta. RNAcentral describes it as "partial 23S ribosomal RNA". It matches the Rfam family "Bacterial large subunit ribosomal RNA", at positions 1 to 591 of the family's 2925-position model. Lineage: Bacteria; Pseudomonadati; Pseudomonadota; Gammaproteobacteria; Enterobacterales; Enterobacteriaceae. The record is from RNAcentral. RNAcentral also lists the same sequence under 4 other names.